ACUGUCUCUUAUUAAAUUUUUGAAUUUAAUUUUUAAGUUAAAAAGCUUAAAUUUUUUUAUAGGACGAGAAGACCCUAUAGAAUUUUAUUUUAAAUUAAGUAAUUAAAUUUAAUUUAUUUAAUUACUUAAUUUAAUAUUUUGUUGGGGCGAUAGGAAAAUUAAUAAAACUUUUUUAAUUUUUUUUCAUUAAUUUAUGAAUUUAUUGAUCUUAAAUUU
This 216-nucleotide ribosomal RNA is filed under the name Allantus sp. YI-2013. Its description in RNAcentral is "partial 16S ribosomal RNA". The record is from RNAcentral. Lineage: Eukaryota; Metazoa; Arthropoda; Insecta; Hymenoptera; Tenthredinidae.